UGCCCAGUAGCUCAAUCGGCAGAGCGUCCGGCUCUGGACCGGGAGGCUGAUGGUUCGAAUCCAUCCUGGGCAGCCG
This 76-nucleotide transfer RNA is filed under the name Bacteroidetes bacterium SW_9_63_38. RNAcentral's name for it is "tRNA-Gln". It matches the Rfam family "tRNA". Rfam says of the family: Transfer RNA (tRNA) molecules are approximately 80 nucleotides in length. Their secondary structure includes four short double-helical elements and three loops (D, anti-codon, and T loops). Further hydrogen bonds mediate the characteristic L-shaped molecular structure. tRNAs have two regions of fundamental functional importance: the anti-codon, which is responsible for specific mRNA codon recognition, and the 3' end, to which the tRNAs corresponding amino acid is attached (by aminoacyl-tRNA synthetases). tRNAs cope with the degeneracy of the genetic code in two manners: having more than one tRNA (with a specific anti-codon) for a particular amino acid; and 'wobble' base-pairing, i.e. permitting non-standard base-pairing at the 3rd anti-codon position. The record is from RNAcentral. Lineage: Bacteria; Pseudomonadati; Bacteroidota.